CUGUUUCGUUUUUACUUUUGUAAUAUAGCUACUAGAAAAUUUAAAAUUACCUGCAUGGCUUAUUUUUCUAUUAGACAACACUGAUCUAGCUCUUUUAAUUUCUACCCAGGGAGACCCACUGAACUGGAACUAAGAAAAAGAUUCAGCUUACUUCAGAUUGCUAUUUGGCAAUCUUUGUUUCCCUUGCAUCAGGUCAUCAUCUCAGGGUCAUGCGAUCAAGCCCUGCAUCGGGAUCCAUGC
RNAcentral lists this long non-coding RNA (240 nucleotides) under Zalophus californianus (California sea lion). RNAcentral's name for it is "lncRNA (ENSZCAG00015009798.1)". Lineage: Eukaryota; Metazoa; Chordata; Mammalia; Carnivora; Otariidae. The record is from RNAcentral.